RNAcentral lists this ribosomal RNA (796 nucleotides) under Helix fathallae. Its description in RNAcentral is "partial 16S ribosomal RNA". The stretch from base 331 to 573 matches the Rfam family "Archaeal large subunit ribosomal RNA", at positions 1785 to 2143 of the family's 2987-position model. Lineage: Eukaryota; Metazoa; Mollusca; Gastropoda; Stylommatophora; Helicidae. The record is from RNAcentral.
AUUAACAAAAUAUAAUAAAUAUACUAUCACGAAAGGUGGUGAGCUAAACAGAUAUAUUUACUUUAUAAUACGUAGUAUAGUAUUUUAAUAAUAUAUGUUUAGGGGUGAUAGGCUUUCCAAACUGCCUUAUAACUUGAUUCAUAUGAAAAGUAUUUAGUACAAAAACAGACUUAAAAAGUUAAGCUUUUAAGUGGCUAUUAAAAAUAUUUUAAACGCUUAAUAUAGUAUAAUAGCUAGUUAACAUAAAAUUAAAUAUUACGUAUAUGUUUUUAUAGAAAAUAAUAUGAUAGCGUAGUUUCAUUAUAACGUUUGACAAUGUUAAUAUUAGUACUAUUUUAAAUAUACUAAAGGAACUCGGCAAAAUGAUCGCUCAACUGUUUAUCAAAAACAUAGCUAUAUGAUUUAAUAUAUAGUUAUUUCUGCUCCAUGAUUAUUAAAUAGCCGCAGUACUCUGACUGUGCAAAGGUAGCAUAAUCAGUUGGCUUUUAAUUAAAGUCUGGUAUGAAUGAAAAUAUGGGUGGUAACUGUCUUAGUAUAUUAAUUUUAAUUUAUUAAGCAAGUGCAAAUACUUGCAAGUUUCAAAAAGACGAGAAGACCCUAGAAACUUGAAAUAGUUUUUGUUGGGGCGACAGAAUUACAUUUAACUAAUUUUUAUAAUAUGACAUUUAAUUGAAAGAAUAAGUUACUCUAGGGAUAACAGCAUAAUUUUAAUAGUUUGUGACCUCGAUGUUGGACUAGGUAUUAUACCCUUAAGGCAAGGGUAUAAUAUGCUCUGUUCGAGCAGUUACACCUACAU